Molecule: ribosomal RNA, 254 nt
Filed under: uncultured bacterium
Lineage: Bacteria
Description: partial 16S ribosomal RNA
Rfam family: Bacterial small subunit ribosomal RNA
Source: RNAcentral
CACGUAGGGUGCGAGCGUUGUCCGGAAUUAUUGGGCGUAAAGAGCUCGUAGGCGGUGUGUCACGUCGGCCGUGAAAACCUGCAGCUUAACUGUGGGCGUGCGGUCGAUACGGGCAUCACUGGAGUGCGGCAGGGGAGACUGGAAUUCCUGGUGUAGCGGUGAAAUGCGCAGAUAUCAGGAGGAACACCGGUGGCGAAGGCGGGUCUCUGGGCCGAUACUGACGCUGAGGAGCGAAAGCGUGGGGAGCAAACAGG